RNAcentral lists this transfer RNA (924 nucleotides) under Rhizobium etli. RNAcentral describes it as "partial 16S-23S ribosomal RNA intergenic spacer". The stretch from base 40 to 113 matches the Rfam family "tRNA". Lineage: Bacteria; Pseudomonadati; Pseudomonadota; Alphaproteobacteria; Hyphomicrobiales; Rhizobiaceae. The record is from RNAcentral.
CGGGUCGAUCCAGUAUGACUGGACCCGUUUGACGAGUAUGGGCCCGUAGCUCAGUUGGUUAGAGCACACGCUUGAUAAGCGUGGCGUCGGAAGUUCAAGUCUUCCCGGGCCCACCAUUUGCAUUAGUAGAUGGGGCUUGGGAAUAGACGGCAGACGCGGAAAGUUGCCGAACCCAGGAUAUCUUGGCCGAUCGAGCUGAUGGGGCUGUAGCUCAGCUGGGAGAGCACCUGCUUUGCAAGCAGGGGGUCAGCGGUUCGAUCCCGCUCAGCUCCACCAUAUCGAUUGGUGUUGAGACUGACGGUGUUGAGACUGACGGUAACCGAGCGAAGCUCGCAAGCGCGAGGCGCGUCGCCAAUCGUUUGGCGCCCCCGCGGAGCGCCUUCGGCGCGUGAGCGACGAAUUUGUCUUUUGAAGAAAUAAAAGUUUGCAUCGGCUUUGCGCCUGAUGCCUGUUCUGCAUACAUUGCGAAGAGAAGAUUGAUAUGGAGGNUUCCAGGUGUUUUGGCUUUGCCCGAAACGUCCGAGCCCAGUUCUGCUGAUCCUAUGGAUGGCCUAGCCGGCCGGAGAUAAGGGGAAGCACUGGAGGUAGGAAGGGAGCUCGUCUCUAUGGAUCGUUUAUUCUUCGGUGCCUGUGGGCAUGGUAUGAUGCACGAUCGGAUUCCCAUUGCCUGACCGCGCGCUAUCGGAUCCAAUCUCGAGCAGCUGGUCUUAACACGCUACACGAGCGUGCUGCUCGGCGUAGCUCCAAUGAAGUGAUCAGAUGUGGACACGUCGAUGGCAUCAUGAAAUGAUCCGGUUGUCGAAGGUCACCGGAUUUUGGACUGGCCGCACGUCAAUCGCAANGUUGUCCGGAUGGUCAGAUUUGGCACCCCACGAGGGCGAAAGCUCGAGUGGAUAAGCUUUGCCACAUCCGUACAUAGAUGAG